AACGAACGCUGGCGGCAUGCCUAACACAUGCAAGUCGAACGAGACCUUCGGGUCUAGUGGCGCACGGGUGCGUAACGCGUGGGAACCUGCCCUUAGGUUCGGAAUAACUCCCCGAAAGGGGUGCUAAUACCGGAUAAUUUCUUCGGACCAAGGAUUUAUCGCCUUUGGAUGGGCCCGCGUUGGAUUAGCUAGUUGGUAGGGUAAAAGCCUACCAAGGCGACGAUCCAUAGCUGGUCUGAGAGGAUGAUCAGCCACACUGGGACUGAGACACGGCCCAGACUCCUACGGGAGGCAGCAGUGGGGAAUAUUGGACAACGGGCGAAAGCCUGAUCCAGCAAUGCCGCGUGAGUGAUGAAGGCCUUAGGGUUGUAAAGCUCUUUUACCCGGGAUGAUAAUGACAGUACCGGGAGAAUAAGCGCCGGCUAACUCCGUG
Molecule: ribosomal RNA, 433 nt
Filed under: uncultured bacterium
Lineage: Bacteria
Description: partial 16S ribosomal RNA
Rfam family: Bacterial small subunit ribosomal RNA
Source: RNAcentral